GAUGAAGAACGUAGCGAAAUGCGAUAAGUAGUGUGAAUUGCAGAAUUCAGUGAAUCAUCGAAUCUUUGAACGCACAUUGCGCCCCUUGGUAUUCCAUGGGGCAUGCCUGUUCGAGCGUCAUUUGUACCCUCAAACUUUGCUUGGUGUUGGGUGUUUGUCCCGCGUUGCGCGUGGACUCGCCUUAAAGCGAUUGGCAGCCGGCAUAUUGGCCUUGGAGCGCAGCACAUUUUGCGCUUCUAGUCAUGAAUGUUGGCGUCCAUUAAGCCUAUACAUUUGCUCUUGACCUCGGAUCAGGUAGGGAUACCCGCUGAACUUAAGCAUAUCAAUAAGCGGAGGA
This 337-nucleotide unclassified non-coding RNA is filed under the name soil metagenome. Its description in RNAcentral is "partial contains 5.8S ribosomal RNA, internal transcribed spacer 2, and large subunit ribosomal RNA". The stretch from base 1 to 120 matches the Rfam family "5.8S ribosomal RNA", at positions 35 to 154 of the family's 154-position model. The record is from RNAcentral.